Molecule: long non-coding RNA, 1030 nt
Filed under: Triticum aestivum (bread wheat)
Lineage: Eukaryota; Viridiplantae; Streptophyta; Magnoliopsida; Poales; Poaceae
Description: long non-coding RNA (TAES_LNC006469)
Source: RNAcentral
UAUGCAACACUAAAUUAAAGUCAACAUUAAGCUUCUCUAGUAAUAAACACCCACAUCUCAAUAGGAUGGCGAAAAUGAAUUUCACAAGGUAUUCUAUUUCUGGUCCACUCUGAUCCAUAUACAUGGCCUGAUUAACAUGACAGGACCAUUUAGAGCACAUGACCGACAACAAAGGAUUUAAAUUAUCAUGCAGACAAAUGAGUUUUGCUCCUGCAAUUGUAAGCAAGGGAAGCCUCUGCUAAGCGCUUCUUCUCUCCAUAUGUACUCCUGAUGCUUCUGGUUGUUAAAGCAUCAUCCAUCUACAAAUGAAGACAAAUGAAGAAAAAAAAUUAUAGUUCACAUCAGAAGGAAAGAAAUUGAAAAUAAUUAUGAUCGUUGGUAGACUAAAUGGUUGUAAGGGAGAAAAACAGAGCAAGAUGUAACAAGCAUAUAUGUUGUACUUUAACCACUAGAAUAGUACAUUUAGGUGACUAGCAUGAAAAUUAAGUAAGAUUGUCAGAACUGAAAACAUUGACCAGAGUGCUACAUCCUUUGCAAGUGAAAUACCAACAUCAGUAGAAUAACCCAAAAGAAUUGCCUGCAGCAGAGGUGUAGUGCUUAAAAAGUAUUUAAUAUUAAUAAUACAAAUUUCUAGGCUUGAAUAACAGUUCAUGUCCUAAUCAUGUGUGUGCUUCACAAUUAAGAAUGGGUGUUAAGUUUUUUUUCUAACUCGUAGAUGAGGAAAAUGUAACAUCUUACAAUAAAUGAGUGGAGCCUUGUUAGAAUGCUGCAUCACAAAAACGUAUGGCAGACCAGUGAAGAGAAAAGAACAAGAAUACCAUAUGGCAAAAUAUAUUCAAAGCUUGACAAUGACCGAUCACUUGUAUCAUCAGAAAAGUGAAGGUGUAAUUUGAUGUUGUUACAAGUUCCAACUCUUAAUUGUUUUGUUCAAUAUCAAGUUCACCUGACUUCCAAUCAACCAGAACAGUAUGAUUCAGGAAUGCUCGUAUAGAAUAAGAAAAUUGCAACCGAGCAUUGAUUUAAAGGCAAG